GAAGGAACGACCAGGAGGGAUAAAACCCUUUCUAACCCUAGUUCAUCAAAUCACCAAGAUUGGAUGUGUAAAUUUCACCUAAUUUGAAUGCAUGUGAUCCAAUUCUCGACCAUCUAAGAGUCUCAUACAUUGGGAUUGAAAGAAGAAGGAGCUAGUUCCGGUUCACAAACAAAGGCUCAAGAUCGAGGUAAAGCACCCGUAUGAUUGUCAUUGCGUCGCUCGGAUACGAACACACCUUGAUCACCCGUGAUGCGCUUCCGCAACUUUUGUAGUAACCUUAUUAGUUAAAGGUUUUUGUUAAAGUUAGUAGUGUUGAAGUUUUACGUUUUAACUAGAUGUUUGUGAAUAUUUAAGUAACUUAAACUUGAUGUUUUGAAACGGUA
Long non-coding RNA from Helianthus annuus (common sunflower), 383 nucleotides. RefSeq lists it as uncharacterized. The record is from RefSeq and is a predicted model, not a curated record. The transcript has 3 exons. Lineage: Eukaryota; Viridiplantae; Streptophyta; Magnoliopsida; Asterales; Asteraceae.